This 212-nucleotide ribosomal RNA is filed under the name uncultured bacterium. RNAcentral describes it as "partial 16S ribosomal RNA". It matches the Rfam family "Bacterial small subunit ribosomal RNA", at positions 145 to 354 of the family's 1533-position model. The record is from RNAcentral.
AACCGGGAGAAAUCCGCCUAAUACAGCAUGACGCCGGGAAGGGACAUCCCUUUCCGGCCAAAGGGGGCGACUCCGGUCACGGAUGGGCAUGCGGCGCAUUAGGUAGUUGGUGGGGCAACGGCCCACCAAGCCGACGAUGCGUAGGGGUUCUGAGAGGAAGGUCCCCCACAUUGGAACUGAGACACGGUCCAAACUCCUACGGGAGGCAGCAG